GCCAUUCAGAAAGGCAAUAAGCAAGCUCUAAGAAUACAUGCUGAAAAUACAGUCCACCAGAAAAAGCAAGCAAUUGAUUUCUUAAGAGUGAGUGCUAGAGUUGAUGCUGUGGCAGCCAGAGUUCAAAAUGCAGUAACAAUGGGCAGGGUAACAAGUCCAUAUGAGGCAUAGUUAAGUCUGUGGGUGCUUCAUUGAGGAGUAGAACCUUGAAAAGGUUAAAAAAAAAAAAAAAAAAAAAAAAAAAAAAAGAAAAAGAAAAAGAAAAAAUUAUGCUCAGAUAGCAUCUUUUCAGUGUAAAUUUUUCUAAUAACUAUUUUUACAGACUUCUGCCUUGAUGAACAAAUUCGAACACCAGUUUGAAAUAUUGGAUAUUCAAACACAACAAAUGGAAGAUAAAAUGAGUAACUCUACAACCCUAACAACACCACAAAACCAAAUGGAUAUGCUGCUUCAGGAAAUGCCAGAUGAAGCUAGGAUGAACUAUCACAGAGACUUGCUCUUUUCCAUGAUUGAAUGUAAUUUAAAGAGCUACUGCUUCUGUUUGCUUCACUUGCUUCUGAAACAUUCUUUGUUUGUAUAGGUAAGUUAUACUCCACUUACAAUAAGAAUACUAUAUAUGUCAGAAUGCUUUUUUGCCUAAACACUGUUUAUAUAUAAUGCUUUCUUUUGCCUUGCUAUACUUUUCAAUACAUUAAGAAAUUCCAGGGAGUUUCCAUCUUGACAGAUUUUAUAUAUAGUUCUAUAUAUUAUAUGUAAAAGUGUGAGGGAUGUAUUUUUGACAGAGCUAGAAUUAGCUUCUUGUAUCUUAACCAUGCUUCCUCAAAAGUUAGAUAAAAAAUUCAGCACCAAAGUGUUACAAAGUACUUCAUACAGAAUGGAGUACAGAAUAAAAGUUUUGGGAUUUUAAAAAUUCAAAGUAGUUUUAAAUCUGUCUGCAGUGAGACGUGAUACAUAAAAAUAAAGGCAUGGAAACAUGUUUAUUUAAUGUUUACAUAGUCAAAAUCACCUCAUUUAGUGUCAUACAAUGGGUAUGACGUAUUUUUGUUUUGUGUUUUUUGUUUCUGUUAUCCAAGCAGAAAUGCAGUUGACUUUAAUCUGUAUUUAUCAGCUUUUAAAUUUAAAUUAGUUUUAGAAUUUUCAACCAGUAAUGUAAUGACUAUUUAAAUUCCUUAAAUUAAAGACAGUUCCAUUGAUAAUGUUCCUACUUAACUAGAAAGAAAUAUGCAACAUUAAACCAGAGAAAUUAAGGUUUGUUCAGUUUUACAAUUUUCUGUUUGCUAAAUAUCAUUGUUAAGACUCUCCCCAAAAUUUAACUUUUCAUACUUCGAAUGAAAUUGUGAAACACAUUUUAAUGAUUAUCCUAUUUCUACUUAACCCUUAUCAUGCUGUAUUUGUAUUUUAUUUUAUUUUUAGUAGAGAUGGGGUCUCACAAUGUUGGCCAGGCUGGUCUCGCACUACUGACCUCAAGCGAUCCUUAUGCCUCGGCCUCCCAAAUUGCUGGGAUUACAAGUGUGAGCCACCACACCCGACCUGUAUUUUAAAAGGAGGUUAAUUCAUAUGGUAUUAAUAUAAUUUACUUAUCAUACACAUUUUUUCAUAAGAUUAUUGACUGAUUUCCAUGACUCUUAACCUGUGUUUUUAAACCAACUGACAAAAUAACAAUGAGAACAAAACUGAAUCAACUCAAGUUACAUGUACUAGAAUUCCUGGUUAAAUGUGUUCAUUCUUUUAAAACAACUCUUUAAUAACUGGAAAAAAUGAAGUGGACAAUAAAUACCUUAAAUGUUUUGCUCAGACAUGUGAAUUACAUCCAGCUCAAUGGAAGUUGGGAGCAUAACAUGGGGUUAUUGUGGGGACACAAAAGUUAUAAGACUGUAAAGAAGAACAAAUUCUGGAAGGCCAGGAUCCUUGAGUUUAAAAACAAAAUGACCAGUUGUAUUACUUGUCAUCUCCUCAGGAAUACCUAUAUUUUACCCAGAUAAAAUUAACAAAUUCACAUGAGUAUGCAAUUUUCUGAUAUAACAUUCUCAAAUGUGGAGAAGUGAUGAAGUUUUAUUUUAGCAAGUAUGCUGCUACUAAUCUAGGUUAAGUAAGUUAGAUGUUUUUUCUUAUUUACUGCAAGAUUGAUCCAUGAACAAAUUCCAAUAGUUUGUGAAGUUCUAUUGAAGAGCAGAUCUGUUUAGAAAAUCUUUUCAUUGUAAGUCAUGAAGGCCUUCAAAGUGCAAUUGCAGAGAGAGUUCUUUGCUAAUUGUUC
This 2254-nucleotide long non-coding RNA is filed under the name Macaca nemestrina (pig-tailed macaque). Its description in RNAcentral is "lncRNA (ENSMNEG00000045639.1)". The record is from RNAcentral. Lineage: Eukaryota; Metazoa; Chordata; Mammalia; Primates; Cercopithecidae.